CCUACGGGUGGCAGCAGUGAGGAAUAUUGGUCAAUGGGCGAGAGCCUGAACCAGCCAAGUCGCGUGAGGGAAGACGGUCCUAUGGAUUGUAAACCUCUUUUGCCGGGGAGCAAAAAGCGGUACGUGUACCGCAUCGAGAGUACCCGGAGAAAAAGCAUCGGCUAACUCCGUGCCAGCAGCCGCGGUAAUACGGAGGAUGCGAGCGUUAUCCGGAUUUAUUGGGUUUAAAGGGUGCGCAGGCGGGCUGUUAAGCCGGCGGUAAAAAUUCAGGGCUCAACCCUGUCGAGCCGUCGGAACUGGCAGUCUUGAGUGGGCGAGAAGUAUGCGGAAUGCGUGGUGUAGCGGUGAAAUGCAUAGAUAUCACGCAGAACGCCGAUUGCGAAGGCAGCAUACCGGCGCCCAACUGACGCUGAGGCACGAAAGCGUGGGGAUCGAACAGGAUUAGAUACCCCUGUAGUC
RNAcentral lists this ribosomal RNA (459 nucleotides) under uncultured bacterium. RNAcentral describes it as "partial 16S ribosomal RNA". It matches the Rfam family "Bacterial small subunit ribosomal RNA", at positions 338 to 795 of the family's 1533-position model. The record is from RNAcentral.